Molecule: long non-coding RNA, 842 nt
Filed under: Equus asinus (donkey)
Lineage: Eukaryota; Metazoa; Chordata; Mammalia; Perissodactyla; Equidae
Description: lncRNA (ENSEASG00005027090.1)
Source: RNAcentral
GCCAGGCUCCCUGUGGGCUGAGCCAAAGGCUUGGGAGAACAAAUGGCUCCUUCUCAGAUGUGCAUGGAGGACUUGUCCUAGUGUUUCUCUCGAAUCUCUAUAAGGCCUUCUGUUCACACGCAUGUCUUGUUGAUUGUGAGUUGGAGGAAGAAAGAAGGGGAUAGUCCUCUAUAAUUAGGACUCUAGGGGAGUAGAGCGGUUCCCUCCCCGUCAGAAACUUUCAUCGGGAAAUGGGCCAUUUGUCCCUGUGCCAUGUGUUACGAACACUCCUAUGGGUUUCUUCUACAGACUUAACAAAAUGUCUUUCUUCUCAUCAUGGAUGAAAGCUAUUUUUGUCAUUGCCUUGCUGUUUCCUCUACAUUCUGAAACUGGUCUUUCACAUCCACUUUCAACGGGGAAUAAGAGACCACCAAACUGUGACAUAUAUAAAGAUGUUUUACAUUGCACCAAUAUGUGGAAUCCAGUCUGCGCAACCGAUGACAUCACUUAUCACAACAUAUGCACUUUCUGCCAGCAAAAAUUAAAGUCUGGUGGAAAAUUGGAUUUUCUGUUUUUCGGUCAAUGUUCUUAGCUCAGAGCUACACCUUCUUAUGCCUUUUCUUGCAAUGCUAUUUUGCAGUGGAUUCUACAAGCAAUUAGAGUCUUCUCAGUCAGAGCUUUAAAUUUGCAGAUGACCACACAAAGCCUGCUGUGGCAUACAAGAUGAAAUGUAGGAUGUUGAAGAAUUUUUCUAAUCUGUGAUUCAAAGAUUUUUAUCCUCUAUGUUGAAUUAUCAGUGGCAGUUGAAAAACCGUCUUAAUUGUAGUUGAUAAUAUAAAGCCUAUGUAACUUAAAAUCAUAAA